Molecule: non-coding RNA, 31 nt
Filed under: Mus musculus (house mouse)
Lineage: Eukaryota; Metazoa; Chordata; Mammalia; Rodentia; Muridae
Source: RNAcentral
UUUGUGGGCCCGUGGCAAUGCAGAAAACAUC